This 594-nucleotide unclassified non-coding RNA is filed under the name Caenorhabditis elegans. RNAcentral describes it as "Non-coding transcript of protein-coding gene hhat-2". The record is from RNAcentral. Lineage: Eukaryota; Metazoa; Nematoda; Chromadorea; Rhabditida; Rhabditidae.
AUGACCGUCUCUUCCCCGUCUCCUUCAAUUCCUGGUCCACUACCCAAAGCUGAAAGGGCUUUAGCGUGGUCUGUCUGGAUAUUUCACUCGCUUUUUGCAUUUGUAAUAGCAUAUUGGGUCUCGAAUGGAAAAGCAAAGGGAUGGAUUAAACAUUGGAUGCAGGAUAGUUGCUAUGUCUCCGGUGCAAAAAUGGAUUUAUCCGAUGCGGAAUGGGCUUAUUAUCGGCAAACCGUGUGGCAUCUUCUUCUCGAUUAUUCGGCCCAUAGCUUAGGAAUAUUCAUCUCAAAACGAUUUCUUCCAUGUUCCACGAUCUCAAAUUAUGCCUUUAUCGCCAUCGGUUUCUUGCUCCAAAUUCACAUGAGCAGUUUCCAAUGCAUUUUCGUCCUCUACUCAUUCUCGGUGCUCGUCAUCGUUGCCACGUGGCUCACAGGCGGCUCCAAAUGGACUCCGUGGCUCCUGUGCAUCGUCUUCAUCGUCCGAGCCACACAAAUCGUCCCAUUCUCGUCUGGAACUCACAUUUUCUAUCGAGAAUUCAACAUUUAUCUCAAUUCGAGACGUGGCAAAAGACAACUGAAAUUUGCUGGAAUUCUGUGA